This 104-nucleotide small nuclear RNA is filed under the name Bison bison bison. Lineage: Eukaryota; Metazoa; Chordata; Mammalia; Artiodactyla; Bovidae. The record is from RNAcentral.
GUGCUCACUUCGGCAGCACAUAUACUAAAAUUGGAACGAUACAGAGAUUAGCAUGGCCUCUGUGCAAGGAUGACACGCAAAUUCGUGAAGCAUUCCAUAUUUUU